Molecule: long non-coding RNA, 1346 nt
Filed under: Parus major (Great Tit)
Lineage: Eukaryota; Metazoa; Chordata; Aves; Passeriformes; Paridae
Description: lncRNA (ENSPMJG00000018459.1)
Source: RNAcentral
GUGAAAGCCGGACACUGUCCUCCUCUUCUUCCCACAGCAAUUCGUGAGCCGGCCAGGUCUGUCAGUUGCUGUCCGUGCUCCAGGAAUGUGUACCAGGCUCACCACAAAGCACGCAAUCUCUGCCAGCCUCGGGGCUCACGGGCACGAAGCCGGUGCGGCUCAGUGCAUGAAUGACAGCAGCAGCCCCAGUGCCAAAGGUCCAACAAGGUGAGUGUGGUCUGCCCGAGCCGGCUGGCCCCGAGCCAGAUUGCAGGUGUGGACUUCAGCAUUUCAGCUGCUCAGUUCUUCCGGAUCUGUGCUGAGGGAACGCUAUAACCCUACACCACCCUACACGGCCUAGGCACACAUCUCCAUCUGCAGCCUUGGGCAUCUGUCACGAGCACUACAUUCCUCAGUAAUCAAGGAAGUUAUAAGCCAAAGAGAUGCUUUUGUUUGAAAGAAAUGACAGAACAAAUAACUUAAUGAACAUUUUAAAAAUAAUUUAUGUCCUGUCUCCAAGUAAUUAAGACCAGAAGAAAACAGAGAUAUGGCUACACAUAUCCUUAUCCCUUAAGACGUUAGAGACCAGAGAGUUGAAGAGAGGAAAUCUGCAUUGGAUAAAUGGAAACUGCACUGAACUAUGGGUGUCUCACACUCUGUGUGCAAAAUGCCUCUGUUUGCCUCUGCCUCUCAGCUGUCUGUCACCAGGGCAGGAUAUUGAGCUAUCGAGCUAUCAGCAUGAAAAGGACCUGAGGAAGAGAGAAAGAAAUCAUUGCCCAGCGCAGAGGAAUGAAUGGAAGGAGGCCCAAAGACCAUUAUGCUGUGGAAGAAAUGAAAUGGGAUGGCACAGAAUCAACAGGCUUUUCUAUGAAUAGCCCUUGAUCACAAGAUGGACACAGAGCUUACAGUACAUGGAGGAGGAAGAAGGUUUGCCCUCCUAGAACAGCAGGAGUGGGUAGCCUGGUCUUACCAUAACAAAUUACCUAAAUGUAGACAUGAUAAAAGGCUGAUUUAUUUUUUCCCUGUCAAAAUCUCCUGUCCAUCUUCAGGCUAACUGCUGAAACAAUCCAGAGGAAAAAGAAAAGUUCCUGUAACACAUGAUCAACUGGAAUAUUAAUCCUAUGAGAUUUGGGAGUAAUUGCAGUCACAAAUUGUACAAGAACUUACACCUGUGGUCAUUAAGGUUAUAAAGUCCCAUUCAUAUUGCUACAAAAAUGAGGUUAUAAUUAACUUCUAACAGCCUUCACUUUCCAGGGGGAUUAAGAUCUAUUCUACCUUCAUCAUGCCUAAGGCAUGAAACCCAUUUAUAGCAGAGAUUAUCAAAUGGACAGAUGCAUGUAAAAUAUUUCAGAACCAGACUUAGUAAG